GAGAGGGCAGCUUGCUUGCGUCGUAUCAAUAUGGCACAAAGAAGAACCGCUUUAACCGCACAUGCGCAGAUAGAUACUCGCUAUUAUCAACACGCGGAGGAAUUCAAUUGAAUUUAAUACUCUUUUUCACACUAAAUGCAAAUACCAAAUAUAAUGCUCCACCAAAGCCCUGAACUAAAACUAUCGUUAGAGAAAUCGAUGGAGGCUGAACACGCAAAACGUUCGUUGGCUUUCUUUGACUUGGAAACAACUGGACUUGGUCAUGCGUGUGAAAUAGUCCAGUUAGCAGCCGUGAGCGGAUGUAACUCCAUCAACUUGUACACCGUGCCCAGGUGUCGAAUGCAGAGCCGUGCGGCCAAAGUAACCGGUUUCAGGGUCCGCAGACACAGAUUGUUCCUCAAUCGCCAACCAGUGCUCACAAAUUCUCUAAAGGAUGUAGUCCUGUCAUUUAUGGCCUUUCUCCGCAUGCUUGGACGUCCUAUACUUAUUGGGCACAAUAUUCGCCGCUUUGAUUGCCCGGUACUUCUCAGGGCACUGGACGAACUCGACCUCAGAGUUGAAUUCCAGUCGAUAAUUACCGGGUGCUUAGACACUCUUCCACUUGCAAGGGACAUUUGCAAGGACAAUGGUUACAAGAGUUUUAGACAAGAAAACCUGGUUCGGGAGCUUUUGGGGGUGGACUACGACGCACACAAUGCACUAGAAGACGUUCGGUCAUUGCAAGCACUUUACUGGGCGCUUCAGCCUACAUCGCAACUGAUAAGUAGACAUUUCUUCACACUGGAGACCAUAGUCAAACCCAAGCAUCCAGUUUCAAACGCAGUGGCAGCGGACUUAUAUCCAGAAAUAGUUCCCUCUGUUUUGAGCACUUGAGACGGGUAGCAACCUAUAGGAGCCCGGAACAAUUAUUUGUUGAAAAGCUUUGUCCGUCUCACUAACAUUUCCACAAAAAAGUGGAUACUUUUCCACAAAUUUGACCCUUGGCAGUGUUGAGGAAAUUCCUACAGGGGCAUUAUAAUUGUUCUUAAAAUUUAUGAUUCAUGUACUAUAUAUGCUACAUCCUUUUUAUAAAAAAAUAAAGUAUAUAAUUUUUGGUUCAUA
Long non-coding RNA from Gadus morhua (Atlantic cod), 1101 nucleotides. RefSeq lists it as uncharacterized. The record is from RefSeq and is a predicted model, not a curated record. The transcript is spliced from 2 exons. Lineage: Eukaryota; Metazoa; Chordata; Actinopteri; Gadiformes; Gadidae.